This 34-nucleotide ribosomal RNA is filed under the name Rhinocladiella mackenziei. RNAcentral describes it as "partial 18S ribosomal RNA". Lineage: Eukaryota; Fungi; Ascomycota; Eurotiomycetes; Chaetothyriales; Herpotrichiellaceae. The record is from RNAcentral.
AAACUUUUUAGGUGAACCUGCGGAAGGAUCAUUA